This 7087-nucleotide long non-coding RNA is filed under the name Theobroma cacao (cacao). RNAcentral's name for it is "long non-coding RNA (TCAC_LNC002567)". Lineage: Eukaryota; Viridiplantae; Streptophyta; Magnoliopsida; Malvales; Malvaceae. The record is from RNAcentral.
CGUUUCCAAAUCAAAACAAUAAAAUAUUAUUUUCUGGCUCACAGGGGCAUUUUCGUCAUUUUUCUUCGAUAAUUUCGAAACUCGCCAAAAAUAUGGUGUAAAGCUAAAUAUGUUCAUACAUAUUUUAGAUCAGAUAACUAUAGUAUAAAAUUACUUUUACAAUGACACGUGAGCCCCCAACUAACCAAUAAGAUGCGAGUCUGUGAACCUAUAAUUUUGACAAUGUAAGGCUAACUGAAUUCCUUGAUGCAAUCGGCUAUCUACCGACUAUCCCGAACCUGAAAUGUGGGGAAUUGAGGGUGGUGAGAUUAUAAAAUCCCAGUGAAUAAACAAACACCAUCUAAAUAAUCUAAAGGCGAGUAAAUGGAGACAAUUAAAAAUAAUUAACUUCAGCAAAUUUUUCACAUCACAAAUAUUCAUUUCAACCAAAUAAUCAAUAUGGCUCGUGAAUUACUCAAAACUUGGCUCAUGUCAAAUCUUGUAUUCGGGGACACCUGGACCAAGGGUAUCCAACCGAGUUCGCCAAGGCUGUUAAAAAUUCAUAUUUCGCAUAAAUCAUAUUUUUAUUUUGAAACAUAACAAUUCCUUGGCGUUGGCUGAGUCUCACUCUCACGCGAUGGUCCACGUGAAGUGCACUAAAAAACCCCACCUCAUGAGAUACACUACGCGCCUCUACGACCGAGGUGAGAAUAUAAAGGAGUUUACCGUGCCCCUCUAAUAGGCUAGCCCACGGAACCCCCCAUCACUGUAGUAGCUAAUCUUUUAUCUACCACCUGAUUUAUAAAAUCUUUUUCUGCAUGAUAUGGUAAUUUAUUGCAACCUAGCCUCUCAAGGCUAAAUACACAGUACAAAUAAUUCUAACACCAAAAUCAGUUUAGCCAGUCAUGCUCAUUUAUUGUCAUAAGCCAUUCAAUUUAAAACCAUAAAUUUACAACACAAGCAGGCAGUCUCCAAUUACUCCAUUUUCAAAACCAGUAUUCGAUUUUUCAGAAUAUUUAUAAAAUCAUUUUAUAAAAUCACAAUUUCUCUUAAAACAUAGCAAUUUACCAUUUAAACCCAUUUUUCAUAAAAUCACACAAUUGUAUAAAACUACUCUAGAUAAAUAAGACGGUAACAAGUUUACUCACAGUUUUCGAAAACUAAAUUCGGGUACUCCAACUAUUACUCCACGGGUGCGAUUUCUUUGCCCUUGCUAGAGAAUUCGUCACCUUGACAAAUUGCACAAUUAAGAGGUUUACUACUUUGGUACUAAACUAAAAUAAACUAAUUUAUAUUACUAAUGCAUGAUAUGAAGUGCAAAAUGUCUAAAUUUUACCUAAACGCGAUGUUAGCCUAUUUCGGUCUUUUACCCGAUAAAUAGAUAUACGCGUCCGUUUAAACUCCAAAUUAAUUUUUUUCAGUUUCUAUACCUCAAUUGCACCCAAAUUGACUUAAUGUUCCUCAAUGUGGUGCAAAUUAUCAGUCAUGAUAGCAAAUUACGAAAAUACCCCUAGUGGGUAAAAAUUCAUAUUUUUGCUUCGAAAAUUCCCAUUAUUUUUCUAGGCUCAUAAUUCAUCAUUAUUCAUCAUAAUUCCUCAAAUAAACAUCAAGAUCAGUAGCCAAUAUUCCUCUAGAAAAUUCGGCCAAUAAUGGUAAUGGGGGAAAAUGAAUUCUUUUCUUGUUGUUUUGUUUCUAAAUAUGCUAAACUAACUAAAAACACUAACAUAACUUAAAAUCAAAUCAAUCUAACUUCAUUCUCUCUCCAUACCCAUUUGGGCAGCCAUGAAUUCACCAUGAAAACAUGAAAUCUAACCAUGGAAAAUAAGGAGAAAAGCAUGGGAAAGGUAGAUCACAAGUCAAAAUCAAGAAAUUUUACCUUUGAUUGCUUGAUUCCUUGAAAUCCACCAAUUUUCCUUUAAUUUUCCCACCUAGGUUUCUUGUUUUUUCCUUUCCUCCUUUUGUUCUUCCUUUUUCUUUGUUUGGCCGGCCAUGUAAAAGAAAAUUGGCUGAUUUUUUAUGCUUAUUUUAAAGCUAAAUAAAUAAUGAAUAUAAACUUGACACAUGUCACCUUAUUAUUGGUCCAUGUGUCAUUUCUUAACUAUUAAGCUUUCUCUCUCCACCACACAUUAUUCAAGGGUCAAAAAUGAUGACGGGUGAAGACCUUGUGCUGGAAAAAUGCUCUGGAGGUGCAAAAUUACCAUUUUACCUCUGGGGUGGCAAAAUUACAUUUUUGCCCCAAAAACUGAAAAAUUGCCCAUAGACAUAUUUUUCAUCCCUUAUACUCAUACCAUUCUCCAAUUUGUCAAAUGUGAUCUAAAUUCUCUCAAAAUCUCAAAUUUUGUCCGUGGGUGAAAAAAUUACGAUUUUACCCUUACACUCCAAAAAUCACCGGAAUUAAACUUUUUCACUGCCAAACCCUCAAAUUAUACUCCAAUACUCAAAUCAUACUCCAAUAAGUUAAAUGGGGCCAAAAAAAAUCUUUUCUCAAAAUUCUCAUUUUGUCCCCAAGUGGCAAAUGACCAUUUUGCCCCUAGAUAGUGAAAAUUUCGAUUUGACUCCAAAUUGAUCCUCGAACUCCGAAUUACCAUUUUGAGUCAUCCCUGAACUGUGAAACUCUUAAUUUCACCUCAAAAUUCCUAUUUGAACUAGUUCGAGGCUUAAUCGACUUAAUGGUACCAUUAGGGGCAAUAUCGUCUUUUAACGAUUCCUCGAACUUCCUAAACAUGCAAACAUUCUAUUGAGCAUGUAAAUGACGUCGUAAUUAUUUUAUAGAGUAGGGUUUGACAACACUACCCCCCUUAAAAUAAAAUUUUGUCCUCAAAAUUUCACUUAUCAAACUCAAAGAAAAGGUGGGGUAUUUUCUUCCAUUAUUUCCAUGUACUUCCUGUUUAUCUCACAGGUAUGAAAUAUCAAUCUUCUUAAUCAUAUUAAUCCAUCUCGUACGGCUUAACCAUGCUAUAGAUCACAUUUCCUUGAUAUUAUCUCCUUGACUAUUUCUCAGAGUCUUUUAUGCUCACAUAGUUCAAUUUUUGAUAAAAUUUCUUAUCAUGGUACUACCUACAUCACUCAUCAUAUAUUAAGUUUGAAUCUUAAUUCACUAAAAAUCAUUCUUCAUUUUAGUUGAUCACAAUAUCAACCCCACAUAUGUGUAUAUGCCUUAUAAUCCCAUUUAUGCUUCCAAGAUCUACCUUGAUUUGAUCAUUGAAUAUGAUGCAAUAUCAUAAUUUCUCAGAGUCAUCCUUUUGUCCUUAAUCAUCUUUCAUGCCUCUAUAUUACCUUGUAUCUUUCUUGCAUUACGAUAUUGAUUUGUCACUUAAGACUCAAACUCAUUUGAAUCAUGUAUACCUCAAGCAUUUUCGAAUUCCAAUUUCCAUAAUGUAUUAGGAAAAUUUCAUUAUCUAACUUCAUUUUCAAGGUUAACUUCUAUCAUCCUUUGUUCUACUCUUUCAUAUAAAUAUAACAUCAUUCUUCCUUAACCAAUUUACAAAUUGUACCUGAAAUUGUAAAACUUGAAACUAGAUUCUCCUCAAGUAUUUUUCAAUAUUAAUAUGAAUAUCACUUUCAGCUUACAGCUUCCUUUUUAUAAUCACAUAACUUAGUGCUUGCUUUCACGAAAUCCGUAGCAAAACUCUUCUUGAGUAUUUCAUUGGGAAUAUCUAUCUUAGACUUAUGUCUCACAGCAUACGAUCACUUAACUUGUGACUUAGCCGUUAGGCUCCUCAACAAGUUUUAAAAUCACACAUCUUAUACUCAUCUCGUAUAAUGUAUAAUUCUUCCUCAAAGGUAUUUAAAUAUUCUUGAAACACCUAAUCACUUAUUUGCUCUUUCAUACUCCAAGUAUAUCAUUUCCAUAAAGGUAUACCCAACUACUCAUAUUUCAAUUUAUCUCCAAGAGUUUCUAGCAUGUCACCUAGUUUACUUGUGUUGUUACUAAUCCUUUCCUUUCAACAAAGUUAAGACAAGAUCAGUAUAUUCUCAUAACAAUAUUCUAUAUCAACUCAUUUGCUAUAUCAUUAUUGAAAUCUUUAUUUACAUUUUUCCUCACUUGGUAUUGACAUCUCUUAUCAGUAUCUCAUACAUUCAUCUAACCUUUCGCUCGCUUCCUCAUUAGUCUUUAACAAGACUUAAUCUCUUAUCUUCCUUAUUUCUUAAGAUUUGACUUCAGUCAUCAUAUUAUUCAUCUUAACACUCCCCAUGUUAAUUUAUUUUUAUGUAACCAUAUCAAAAACUCUCUAACUUUUCUUUCUUUUACAUGCCAAUAUACAAGGCAAUAAAGAAACUUUACAAUUUCACUCAUCAUCUUUAUCUUAAUACCUCCCCAAUGCACUUAAGAUUCCAAACAACAAAGCUUAGCAUGAAAAUCAAUGACCAUUCCUCAACUCGUAAGUUUCAUCUUCAUGCCACUCUCAAUUUGCUCAUGCUUGCUAGCCAUUAGGGGUUCUUAACGCGACAGCGUUUGAGAGUCAGUACUGUAGCGUUGCAACUAUUUGAUUUCACUUUAUCCCAACAACUCUUCUACCUUUAAAGCUACUACCUCAAUUAUUCACAAUCGUGUGGCUUCUCUCUGAGUCUAUACCACAAUUAGCAAUACUAACUUUCUAUCACAAGUAUGUGAUCAGAACAUUGAUUUAAUGUCUUUAUUUUGCCACUAACAUUCAUAUAUCUUUCAUUAGGAGCUUUCGUUUUAAGAUCUCUCCAACACUGGCUCGUGGCACGAGUGGCAUCUUAAACCCGAACAACAGCCCUACUUAUGACCUUUGCAUGACAGUAAUAAGGAAAUUGGUUACUAGGAUCAGGAGUUCCUAUAGAUCCCAUAAGAUCUAUAAGAAAAAACAAAACAAGUUUAAACAACUCUAAAUUCUAUAUGCAGAUGUACGCAUUAUAUUCUACCUAACCUGAUUUAACUUGACUAACUUAACUUAACUUAACUUGGGUCACGCAGUGUCAGUGUGGAUUUCUUAUAACAACUUUAAAACCAAAAACUUUAAAAUUCAAAGCUUUAAAAUCAAAAUCUCUGAUCUUUAAACCAUGCUCUGAUACCACUUUAAUUGUCACGAUCCGGAACUCCCAUCGAAUCCGUGACAACCGUCGCGACGUCCCGAUAGGCACUCAUUACCCCAAAUGCCGAUCGGAACCCCGCAAGGCUUAGCAUCAGCUUUCGCAUCGCCCCGGUGAGCGACAGUUAUUAAAUCUUGCAUUUUAAGAAAUCAUAAGUCGUUUCCAAAUCAAAACAAUAAAAUAUUAUUUUCUGGCUCACAGGGGUAUUUUCGUCAUUUUUCUUCGAUAAUACCGAAACUCCCCAAAAACAUGGUGUAAAAGGUAAAUAUGUUCAUACAUAUUUUAAAUCAGAUAACUAAAGUAUAAAAAUUCUUUUACAAUGACACGUGGGCCCCCAACUAACCAAGAAGAUGCGAGUCUGUGAACCUAUAAUUUUGACAAUGCAAGGCUAACUGAAGUCCUUGAUGCAAUAGGCUAUCUACCGGCUAUCCCGAACUUGAAAUGUGGGGAAUUGAGGGUGGUGAGAUUAUAAAAUCCUAGUGAGUAAACAAAGACCAUCUAAAUAAUCUAAAGGCGAGUAAAUGGAGACAAUUAAAAAUAAUUAACUUCAGCAAAUUUUUCACAUCACAAAUAUUCAUUUCAACCAAAUAAUCAAUAUGGCUCGUGAAUUACUCAAAACUUGGCUCAUGCCAAAUCUUGUACUCGGGGACACCUAGACCAAGGGUAUCCAACUGAGUUCGUCAAGGCUGUUAAAAAUUCAUAUUUCGCAUAAAUCAUAUUUUUAUUUUGAAACAUAGUCAUUCCUUGGCGUUGGCUGAGUUUCACUCUCACGCGGUGGUCCACGUGAAGUGCACUCAAAAAGCCCACCUCAGGAGAUACCCUACGCGCCUCUACGAUUGAGGUGAGAAUACAAAAAAGUUUAUCGUGCCCCUCUAAUAGGCUAGCCCACGGAACCCCCCACCACUGCAGUAGCUAAUCUUUUAUCUACCACUUGAUUUAUAAAAUCUUUUUCUACAUGACAUGACAAUUUAUCGCAACCUAGCCUCUCAAGGCUAAAAACACAAUACAAAUAAUUCUAACACCAAAAUCAGUUUAGCCAUUCAUGCUCAUUUAUUGUCAUAAGCCAUUCAAUUUAAAACCAUAAAUUUAUAACACAAGCAUGCAGUCUCCAAUUACUCUAUUUUCAAAACCAGUAUUCGAUUUUCCAGAAUAUUUAUAAAAUCAUUUUAUAAAAUCACAAUUUCUCUUAAAACAUAGCAAUUUAUCAUUUAAACCCAUUUUCCAUAAAAUCACACAAUUGUAUAAAACUACUCUAGAUAAAUAAGACGAUAACAAGUUUACUCACAGUUUUCGAAAACUAAAUUCAGGUACUCCAACUAUUACUCCUCGGGUGCGAUUUCUUUGCCCUUGCUAGAGGAUUCGUCACCUUGACAAAUUGCACAAUUAAGAGGUUUACUACUUUGGUACUAAACCAAAAUAAACUAAUUUAUACUACUAAUGCAUGAUAUGAAGUGCAAAAUGUCUAAAUUUUGCCUAAACGAGAUGUUAGCCUAUUUCGGUCUUUUACCCGAUAAAUCGAUAUACGCGUCUGUUUAAACUCCAAAUUAAUUUUUUUCAAUUUCUAUACCUCAAUUGCACCCAAAUUGACUUAAUGUUCCUCAGUGUGGUGCAAAUUAUCAGUCCCGAUAGCAAAUUACGAAAAUACCCCUAAUGGGUAAAAAUUCAUAUUUUUUCUCCGAAAAUUCUCAUUAUUUUUCUAGGCUCAUAAUUCAUCAUUAUUCAUCAUAAUUCCUCAAAUAAACAUCAAGAUCAGAAGCCAAUAUUCCCCUAGAAAAUUCGGCCAAUAAUGGUAAUGGAGGAAAAUGAAUCUUUUCUUGUUGUUUUGUUUCUAAAUAUGCUAAACUAACUAAAAACACUAACAUAACUUAAAAUCAAAUUAAUCUAACUUCAUUCUCUCUCCAUACCUAUUUGGGCAGCCAUGAAUUCACCAUGAAAACACGAAAUCUAACCAUGGAACACAAGGAGAAAAGCAUGGGAAAGGUAGAUCACAAGUCAAAAUCAAGAAAUUUUACCUUUGAUUGCUUGAUUCCUUGGAAUCCACAAAUUUUCC